RNAcentral lists this long non-coding RNA (1029 nucleotides) under Dermacentor andersoni. Its description in RNAcentral is "uncharacterized LOC126529783". Lineage: Eukaryota; Metazoa; Arthropoda; Arachnida; Ixodida; Ixodidae. The record is from RNAcentral.
UAUAAUGGUUAUCUUGCCUGUUGUUCAGUUGUUUUUAGUUCUUAACGUAACAAAAUGAACUGUGAGUGUUUUUGUAACCUCCCCUCAUGCAAUGUUCUGAACCUGUGACGUAUAUUGACACAAAGAUAACAGCGUAACCCUAGGGAUGCUCUUACGCAUCAUUUCACUUCUGUUGCCAUUUGUUGAUGCCGAGCUGUUUCGGUUCCACUGCAGUUCCUGGUCCCGACGACUGUGGGAUGCCCUUCUGUUGGACCUCGAUGGACGAGCUGCAGAUGGGCCAGGCUUCCCGUGGAAGAGUGUUGCCCAGAAGAGAAGCCUCGGAGAGCAGUGGCCGAUUCUCGUGCCAGUUCUGUCCGUACGUCUCAAACAAUGCUGCCAAUCUCCAGAGGCACGUCCGAGUGCACACUGGAGAGAAGCCGUUCAAGUGCAGGCACUGCCCGGCUGCAUUCUCACAGAGUGGGAAUUACAAGCGCCACCUGCGCAACCACGGCACCGAAGAACAAUUCAAGUGCCGUCCGCGGCCAACGGUACCUUCUCGGAGCGCUGCCUUGGUGCGCGCCAUGUCCACUUCAGAAGGACACAGAUGAAGAAAACUUGAGCCCAUACUUGUGUUCCAGAAAUUACUUCUUGAGAACUUGCUCCUUGACCCACAUAUUUCACAGAGCUCACAAAUGCAACCACUGCUCGUGUGUUACCACCCACAAGAGCCCUCUGUUACACUGCAUGGCUAUGCACAAAGACUUGAAACUUGUGCUGUUACCAGAGCCAAGCACAGAAAUGAAGUCAGCAGGUACUAAUUGCGACGCGUAACAGAGCGUACCACAAGGGACAGUGAAAGUGUGGUUUGCGCUGUCAACUUUUCUGUGAAGAAGCACCAGUUUGCCCUGUUAACAAUGCUACUAUAUACUAGUCAGGCAGAGAAUACCUUGAAUAUUUUUUUUUUCUCGAAAAAAAAAAAAUGCCAGAGAACAUGAAAAGCUCACUACGUUCUAUUUCAAAUAAAAAGUGGCAUCUUGUCAUUGUUCUCCA